GCCUGACUGGCUCAGUCAGUUAAGCAUCUGACUUCGACUCAGGUCAUGAUCUCCCAGUUUGUGAGUUCAAGCCCCGCGUUGGGCU
This 85-nucleotide transfer RNA is filed under the name Felis catus (domestic cat). It matches the Rfam family "tRNA". Rfam says of the family: Transfer RNA (tRNA) molecules are approximately 80 nucleotides in length. Their secondary structure includes four short double-helical elements and three loops (D, anti-codon, and T loops). Further hydrogen bonds mediate the characteristic L-shaped molecular structure. tRNAs have two regions of fundamental functional importance: the anti-codon, which is responsible for specific mRNA codon recognition, and the 3' end, to which the tRNAs corresponding amino acid is attached (by aminoacyl-tRNA synthetases). tRNAs cope with the degeneracy of the genetic code in two manners: having more than one tRNA (with a specific anti-codon) for a particular amino acid; and 'wobble' base-pairing, i.e. permitting non-standard base-pairing at the 3rd anti-codon position. RNAcentral also lists the same sequence under 1 other name. Lineage: Eukaryota; Metazoa; Chordata; Mammalia; Carnivora; Felidae. The record is from Rfam by way of RNAcentral.